GAUGAACGCUGGCGGCGUGCCUAACACAUGCAAGUCGAACGGACAGACGAUGAGCUUGCUGCGCUGUCGUUUGCCGAGGACGGGUGAGUAACACGUGUAUCCUCUCCCUGUCUGACUGGGAAAAUUUGGGAACUGCGGCUAUAAUACCGGAGAAUCUCUUGAACCGCAUGGUUCAAUGGAAAAAGUCGGCUGUUGUGGAUCGUCUCGCUGGUUAUCAGCUUCUUUGGGUGGUAGUGGAUUACCAAGGCUAUGACGGGUAGGCUGCCUGAGAGGGUGACCGGCCACCUUGGGACUGAGAGACGGCCCAGACUGGUACGGGAGGCAGCAGUGGGAAAUCUUGCAGAAUGGGCGGAAGCCUGAUGCAGCAACGCCGCGUGCGGGAAGACGGCCUUCGGGUUGUGAACAGAUUUCGCAUGAACUGAGGAGUGAGUGACGGUACCGGGUCAGAAAGCACCGGCUAACUACGUG
RNAcentral lists this ribosomal RNA (468 nucleotides) under uncultured bacterium. RNAcentral describes it as "partial 16S ribosomal RNA". It matches the Rfam family "Bacterial small subunit ribosomal RNA", at positions 28 to 507 of the family's 1533-position model. The record is from RNAcentral.